GUUUUGAUAUUCCUCUCCAAAACAAUCACUUUUAUCAGGCAACCACGUUUUUCUUUUCUUCCUUUCUUUUUGGGUAUUUAAUAAAAAAGAGUUGUUUGAGUUUCCUCCUUUUCACAAGAAAAGAAAAAAAAGACAAGUCAGAAAAAGACCCAUCCCCCUUUUCUUUCCUUGCAAAAAGAAAAAAAACAAAAUUUCAAUGAUGAUCCUUCCGCAGGUUCACCUACGGAAA
Molecule: unclassified non-coding RNA, 229 nt
Filed under: uncultured fungus
Lineage: Eukaryota; Fungi
Description: sequence contains ITS1
Source: RNAcentral